UGGAAACAUUUCUUCCCUGGGA
Molecule: microRNA, 22 nt
Filed under: Apis mellifera (honey bee)
Lineage: Eukaryota; Metazoa; Arthropoda; Insecta; Hymenoptera; Apidae
Description: ame-miR-3777-3p
Source: miRBase by way of RNAcentral